Pelobates cultripes (western spadefoot toad) is the source of this 289-nucleotide non-coding RNA. Lineage: Eukaryota; Metazoa; Chordata; Amphibia; Anura; Pelobatidae. The record is from the annotation of a GenBank genome assembly.
CUGCUAAGUUCUAUGCUUUAAGACGUUUUUAGUGAUAAAUAAGGGAACCAGCCGCAGUUACAAUACAUGACACUCAACAAACCCCUAGCCUGUUCAUGUAUUUCGCUACAUUGGGAAUAAUUCUGUAGAUUUUAUUGUAUCAUCUAAUGUAAUUGCUGCUUUUCAUGUAUAUAUCUGUGUGGAUAGAUUUUUUUUUUUAGUUGUUUUGUUCUCUAUUACUACACUUUUGUAUAAAAGCAAGACUGCAACAGGCUUCUAUCAAUAUAGGAAAUACUAUCACAUUGAACUA